This 65-nucleotide transfer RNA is filed under the name Dipodomys ordii (Ord's kangaroo rat). It matches the Rfam family "tRNA". From Rfam's summary of the family: Transfer RNA (tRNA) molecules are approximately 80 nucleotides in length. Their secondary structure includes four short double-helical elements and three loops (D, anti-codon, and T loops). Further hydrogen bonds mediate the characteristic L-shaped molecular structure. tRNAs have two regions of fundamental functional importance: the anti-codon, which is responsible for specific mRNA codon recognition, and the 3' end, to which the tRNAs corresponding amino acid is attached (by aminoacyl-tRNA synthetases). tRNAs cope with the degeneracy of the genetic code in two manners: having more than one tRNA (with a specific anti-codon) for a particular amino acid; and 'wobble' base-pairing, i.e. permitting non-standard base-pairing at the 3rd anti-codon position. Lineage: Eukaryota; Metazoa; Chordata; Mammalia; Rodentia; Heteromyidae. The record is from Rfam by way of RNAcentral.
GGUGGCUCAGUGGUAGAGUGCUUGCCUUGCAUGCAUGAGGCCCUGGGUUUGAUUCCCCGACACCA